AGAAGAAUUGAAGACUUUAGAUCUUGUCAUGAUAUUGAAAACCUAGCUAAAAUGAUGGUCGAACUUCAAAGGCAUGUCAUGUUUCCUACUGUGUAUCGCCUCAUGGAGUUGGCAUUGCUACUAUCGGUAGCGACGACAACAAUUGAAAGGGCUUUCUCAUCAAUGAAAAUCAUCAAGAUUGAGUUGCGCAGCAGGAUGACAGAUGGUUCGCUUAAUGAUUUGAUGAUUUGUUAUCUUGAGCGAGAGAUCUUCAAAAGUAUUGAUCUUAAAAUCGAGGAAGAUUUUUAGAAUGAGGGCAGGGCAUUGCCAUUGCCUGGGUCUUCUAGGCGGCAUUGA
RNAcentral lists this ribosomal RNA (336 nucleotides) under Triticum aestivum (bread wheat). RNAcentral's name for it is "partial small subunit ribosomal RNA". Lineage: Eukaryota; Viridiplantae; Streptophyta; Magnoliopsida; Poales; Poaceae. The record is from RNAcentral.